AGUUCGCGCGCGAAUCUCGCCGGUUUCGGCAGUGUUUGUGAAUUGGUGGCGAACUUUGAUGUAUUUAUAUAUAUCAUGGAUGCCCUCAAAGAGAAGAACAGAAAAUACUCGGAGACCGAUCCCAAAACCGCUGUUGAAAUGUUGUUGCGCCGAAGAAUAAUUCUAGAAGAUGUUACUAAAAUGUUUAUCUUGUUUUUUUUAUGUUUAUGUUAAUUUUAUUAUAAAAUUAAUAUUGUACUACUUAAAUAAAGUUAACUUGCCUAAUUCCGUUAUAUCAGAAUUAAAGUAUUAGCUAUCACGGACUUAAAGAGGUCACCACGGAAUUAGGCAAGUUGACUUAGUUUAGUAAAUUUGGUAUAACUCUUAGGUUUCUAGAAAAAAAUCUGAUUAUUUGUGCUAAUAUUCCUCAUAAAAGACUGAUUAAGGUCCGUAUUACAGAAGGCUACUCAAGUCAAGUUUGAUCUCGAAUCACCUGAUCAUAGUUUAAAUAUGGAAUCUGCACUUGAGGGUUGUUCUUAUUUCAGAACAAUACUUAAACUGCACUCAGCUGAAUCGAGAUUCAAAUCGCGCCUCAAGCAGAGAAUAUGGCUUGUCUAUGCAUCAGCCUGUUUUCGUUUACAUUUUAUUUUUUUCGCCAACUCUGUUACAACUUACGCAAAAUAAGAAUUUAGUUUAACAUCUAAUUAUUAGUUAAAUCAUGAUUUAAAGAAAACAUAGGCUUUUUAAUUGUAGGUUUAAUUUUAAAAUGCCAUUUUUACGCCUUGAAAAUGUGUUGAAUGAUACCUGUAACAGUUGGUUGUAAUAUCUAAAAUUACAAAUACGAACAUGUUCGUAGAAUGGAAUGUUUUCCGAGUGUAUCGUAUCUGUGGUGGUGGAGAUUGACACUUGACAGUUAUGAUUAAAUAUUUUGGUUAUUUAAAAUGAUUUCAAGAAAGAAAAAGAAAUAGUUUAUUAGAGAGAAAUUUACUUAUCGAAAUAUUAAAAGAAUUUUAAGGUAUCGUGGAAUGUAAGAAAAUCGAUAAUGUUUAAUGGAAAUUAAUAAAACCCAUGCUGUUGAUUCUCCAACACAAGAAUUGAAGAGAUAUCUCUGCAAACGAGCCUAGAACAACUUUUUUUGUGAUUAUUUUAUUGUUUUGUUUAUUUAUAGUAAUUUUAAGUUUAAAUUAAUAAAAAAGAUGAAUAUUUUUA
Long non-coding RNA from Helicoverpa zea (corn earworm), 1188 nucleotides. RefSeq lists it as uncharacterized. Lineage: Eukaryota; Metazoa; Arthropoda; Insecta; Lepidoptera; Noctuidae. The record is from RefSeq and is a predicted model, not a curated record. The transcript has 2 exons.